This 253-nucleotide ribosomal RNA is filed under the name uncultured bacterium. RNAcentral describes it as "partial 16S ribosomal RNA". It matches the Rfam family "Bacterial small subunit ribosomal RNA", at positions 524 to 776 of the family's 1533-position model. The record is from RNAcentral.
UACGGGGGGGGCAAGCGUUGUUCGGAAUUACUGGGCGUAAAGGGCUCGUAGGCGGCCAACUAAGUCGGAUGUGAAAUCCCCAAGCUUAACUUGGGAACUGCAUCCGAUACUGGAUGGCUUGAAUCCGGGAGAGGGAUGCAGAAUUCCAGGUGUAGCGGUGAAAUGCAUAGAUAUCUGGAGGAAUACCGGUGGCGAAGGCGGCAUCCUGGACCGGCAUUGACGCUGAGGAGCGAAAGCUAGGGGAGCAAACGGG